CUAAGUGGCGGACGGGUGAGUAAUGUAUAGUUAAUCUGCCCUUUAGAGGGGGAUAACAGUUGGAAACGACUGCUAAUACCCCAUACUCCUUUUGCAUUAAUUGUAAUUGGGAAACGUUUUUUCGCUAAAGGAUGAGACUAUAUGGUAUCAGGUAGUUGGUGGGGUAAGAGCCCACCAAGCCAAUGACGCCUAGCUGGUCUGAGAGGAUGAUCAGCCACACUGGAACUGAGACACGGUCCAG
RNAcentral lists this ribosomal RNA (241 nucleotides) under uncultured bacterium. RNAcentral describes it as "partial 16S ribosomal RNA". It matches the Rfam family "Bacterial small subunit ribosomal RNA", at positions 91 to 334 of the family's 1533-position model. The record is from RNAcentral.